Molecule: ribosomal RNA, 454 nt
Filed under: uncultured bacterium
Lineage: Bacteria
Description: bacterial SSU rRNA
Rfam family: Bacterial small subunit ribosomal RNA
Source: RNAcentral
GAUGAACGCUAGCGGCAGGCUUAACACAUGCAAGUCGAGGGGUAGAAGCAGCUUGCUGCUUUGAGACCGGCGCACGGGUGCGUAACGCGUAUGCAAUCUACCUUUUACAGAGGGAUAGCCCAGAGAAAUUUGGAUUAAUACCGCAUAUGCCCUACGGGGUAAAGCCGCAAGGCGCUUUGGGAGGGGCAUGCUUCCUAUCAGGUAGUUGGUGAGGUAAUGGCUCACCAAGCCUAUGACGGGUAGCUGGUCUGAGAGGACGACCAGCCACAAUGGAACUGAGACACGGUCCAUACUCCUACGGGAGGCAGCAGUGAGGAAUCUUCCGCAAUGGGCGAAAGCCUGACGGAGCGACACCGCGUGGAGGAUGAAGCUUUUAUAGUGUAAACUCCUUUUCUGUGGAAGNUAAUGACGGUACCACAGGAAUAAGGGGCGGCAAACUACGUGCCAGCAGCCG